RNAcentral lists this ribosomal RNA (431 nucleotides) under uncultured bacterium. Its description in RNAcentral is "bacterial SSU rRNA". It matches the Rfam family "Bacterial small subunit ribosomal RNA", at positions 28 to 447 of the family's 1533-position model. The record is from RNAcentral.
GAUGAACGCUAGCGACAGGCUUAACACAUGCAAGUCGAGGGGCAGCAUGAUUUGUAGCAAUACAGAUUGAUGGCGACCGGCGCACGGGUGAGUAACGCGUAUGCAACUUACCUAUCAGAGGGGGAUAGCCCGGCGAAAGUCGGAUUAAUACCCCAUAAAACAGGGGUCCCGCAUGGGAAUAUUUGUUAAAGAUUCAUCGCUGAUAGAUAGGCAUGCGUUCCAUUAGGCAGUUGGCGGGGUAACGGCCCACCAAACCGACGAUGGAUAGGGGUUCUGAGAGGAAGGUCCCCCACAUUGGUACUGAGACACGGACCAAACUCCUACGGGAGCAGCAGUGAGGAAUAUUGGUCAAUGGCCGAGAGGCUGAACCAGCCAAGUCGCGUGAAGGAGAAGGAUCUAGUGGGUUUAGUAAACUUCUAUCAGCAGGGAAG